UGGGCAACCUGCCCCUAGCUCUGGGAUAACUGCGGGAAACUGUAGCUAAUACCGGAUGUGACACGAGACUGCAUGGUCUUCGUGUGGAAAGAUUUAUCGGCUAGGGAUGGGCUCGCGGCCUAUCAGCUAGUUGGUGUGGGUAAUGGCCCACCAAGGCGACGACGGGUAGCCGGCCUGAGAGGGUGACCGGCCACACUGGGACUGAGACACGGCCCAGACUCCUACGGGAGCAG
RNAcentral lists this ribosomal RNA (233 nucleotides) under uncultured bacterium. RNAcentral describes it as "partial 16S ribosomal RNA". It matches the Rfam family "Bacterial small subunit ribosomal RNA", at positions 118 to 347 of the family's 1533-position model. The record is from RNAcentral.